AGGACGAACGCUGGCGGCGUGCCUAACACAUGCAAGUCGAACGGAGUCAAGAAGCUUGCUUUUGACUUAGUGGCGGACGGGUGAGUAACGCGUGAGUAACCUGCCUCUGAGAGGGGAAUAACGUUCUGAAAAGAACGCUAAUACCGCAUAACGUAUCGAAGCCGCAUGACUUUGAUACCAAAGAUUUUAUCGCUCGGAGAUGGACUCGCGUCCGAUUAGUUAGUUGGUGAGGUAACGGCUCACCAAGACCGCGAUCGGUAGCCGGACUGAGAGGUUGAUCGGCCACAUUGGGACUGAGACACGGCCCAGACUCCUACGGGAGGCAGCAGUGGGGGAUAUUGCGCAAUGGGGGCAACCCUGAACCGCAGCAACGCCACGUGAAGGAUGAAGGUUUUCGGAUUGUAAACUUCUUUUAUCAGGGACGAAGCUUGACGGUACCUGAUGAAUAAGCUCCGGCUAACUACGUGCCAGCCGCAGC
RNAcentral lists this ribosomal RNA (478 nucleotides) under uncultured bacterium. Its description in RNAcentral is "bacterial SSU rRNA". It matches the Rfam family "Bacterial small subunit ribosomal RNA", at positions 26 to 518 of the family's 1533-position model. The record is from RNAcentral.